CUCCGAAUGGUGUAGUUGGUUUAUCACGUCGCACUGUAAUUGUGCCCUGAGCAAACAUGUUCAGGACAGUAACCAUUAUGCGAAGGUCCCUAGUUCGAUUCUGGGUUCGGAGA
Non-coding RNA from Sodiomyces alkalinus F11, 113 nucleotides. Lineage: Eukaryota; Fungi; Ascomycota; Sordariomycetes; Glomerellales; Plectosphaerellaceae. The record is from the annotation of a RefSeq genome assembly.